UACGAAUUCGUCCACUCCGAGAAACUAGAGGGAACUGAAAACAAAAUUUACAAAUCACAAUGGUGCAACAAAUUCUUGGUCACAAAGGUAAACAUCUUUCAAACACCAUAUACAUAGACAACAUGAUAGAUUAAAUAUUACCUUGUGAAGUGCAAAGCUUGAUGCUCCUAUUUCAAUGGUAACAUCACUAGAAACAUCAGAAAUAGGCCUGCAAGAUUGAAAAAACUAGGUCAAAGCAUAUUGCAUAGAGACUAAAGCUAUAAAACGAAACAAGAACAAAAACAAAAAAUUUAAACGACAGAUAAAUGAAAUUCUACAUGCUUGUUAGUGCCAAAAAUUUAGAUAUCAUGACGUUUUGUUUGGCAUAGUCCUGCAAUCCCAUGCUUGAACUCAUUAAUUUCCCCACUGCUUCAGUCAAUAUGUAAAUUCCAUUGAACAUCUCAAUCAAUAGAAAAAAAAAACUAUAUUUGGUUCCAUGGUUGGACAAGGAGGACCCAUGUGGGAAAACUAACAACUCAAUAAUUAUAGCAUGAGUGGUGGUAAAAAUUUUCAAAAAAAAAACAAGCAUUGAAGAACUGGUUUUAGUUGUGGAAGUGGAAAACAAGUAAACUAUUUCACUUUCUUUCAUGGAUAUGAAUUGCUAGGAACCAAAUGGGACCCUUAGUUUGUGUUGGAUAGAUGUGUGUGUUUUUUGUUGUUUUAUGGGAGAAUAUAUCAAUAGGGCAGCUUAUGAGAAUUUUAUAAGAACACAUCCUCAAAUCCGACAAUCUAGCCUCGUGGUACCAUUACUUGGUAUGGAAGAAUUCUGAGGCCAAGAUCUUAAGCUCAAAGGGGUUAAUCUGUCACAGUCAAACAUGUCAGUAUUCCAGGGCUUAUCAACAACUAGUGCUGUCUAAUUUUAAUUUACUUGAGGGACCUUAUAUGAACAUGAUAAUUGACUGAAAUCAAACUUUUAAGAAAAGAAAAAGCUGAAAUUCAUGUACUUCUGAUAACAGUUAGUUCUUUCAGAUUAUUGGAAAAAAAAAAUUAUUAUAGAAAGAAAAAGAUUGCACUCUUUGCAUAAAAUUAUGAACCUAGGAAAUAAUACAAAGCAAGAUAUAUCUUCUGUUGAUCUGUUCUUGUCAGAUAUGAAGAAUGAAGUUGGAAAACAUCAUUUUCACAAUUAAAUGAAAAAUCUGAAACUGUCUGACAAGUAAAACUCAAUGGUCUAAACUCAAUUAAACAGUAAGAUUUUUUCAAAGUUUAAUAUAUUAAAUGCAAAAACAACCCACCAACUUAAAUUCUAGUGAAAAUCACUCUGCAACAAAAUAAGAACAAGAAGGUUACCAUUCGGUGGCAGCAUGCCUUAUAGUUGAACUUGGACGAAAAGAUCUCUUCCCAGAUAUACUUGUUUUAAGUUCACCAACUGUAACAACACCCAUCUUCACAAAAACCUGGAAAAAGCUCAGAUUUUUAGCCUUAAGAAAGUUGUAAUCUUUGGCAAAAUAUCUCUUUUUUGUCAGUUCAAUACUUCAUGGUUUGUGCUGCUGACAGGUGGUUUAAAGAUUGUAUUAUGAAAGAGGAAGGGGUGGAUUAUGGAGUGAGGUAAAAGUCACAUGAAUUCAUGCAGGAUUAAAGGGUGGUAAUGGCUUUUAAAAUAUACUUUUUUUAAUGAGUGUUAAUGUAGAGAAUAUGCCUAAUCUAAAGUUUUAACUAUGAACUUUUCGGUGAAAGCCAGUGAGAAGGUGGCCUUUUUCUUUUACAUGGUGUUUUUGUUUAUGAAGAAGAAAGAAAAAAAAAUAUUGCAGGAAUCCUGAAGGGUUGCAGUGCUUUUUGGGGAUAUAAUCAUGGCUAUUGAAAGCUACCUAUAUAAAAGAUUAAGCUUAAUUAACUCUUUAUAUUAUGUGUAAAGUCUUAGUAAAGUAAGGGUAUUAAGAAGAUGAGUUGGAUUACAUGAUAUAAUUAGUACCACACUCCUUUGCCCAUAUUACAUCACCCAAAAACUACUUUUUAAGUUCUGCAGGAUAUAUAUAUAUAAGUAUUAUAUAUAUAGCCUAUUUUAAGUCCUAGCUAGAAGCCAAGGCCUUCAACUAUAGGCAUUUUCUUUGCCACAAUCACCAUGACAUUACCUUAACAUGCUACAGUUUCUUCAGAUGACAUUCUUUCUCCCUUUACACAAACUUUAGUGAAACAUUUAUAGUUUUGCUCCAUUGAUUUUGGAAAACAUUUGAAUAGCACUGUUUUCGAUAUUAAAUACGAAACCUUACUCAAGAAACUUUUGGUUGAUAGGUUAGUAGUCUUAUCCGUCACAUAAGAGUGAAAAUAUAAAUUCGAACUUCGAGAGAAAGAAUUUUACUUUUAAGUACUCUCGAAACCAACAAACCAUACACGAUAUGUACUACAAAAAUAUCAUGGUGUUGGUUUUAUUGUGUCAAGCUCCACUUUACAGAAUCAAACAAAUAUACCCAAAAUUUUAUUGGGCAAAUUGAGUGUAUAUACGUACUCUGUUGGCUUAAUUAUGACCUAAGAUUGCAUGGAUCAAGUGAUAAUAAUGACCCCAUCAAUUCAUGCUUUUUUUUGUGUGUGUGUGUGUGGCUUGAGUAAGUGGUAUGCAGUAUUUAAUUAGCCUCAAAGUUUGCUGAUCAAAUGCUUUUAUUUUUCUUUCUUGGUUAAGCUUUGGAGGCAAAAAAAUUAAGGUAAAUGAACAUAAUUUGCGGUUAAUUGUUUAUAUUAUCUCUUAGGUAGGUACAUCAUGAAGAUGUUAUAGGUCUCUUGUGACAAAGACAUCUUCGUUUUCAUUUUUAUUUUUAUUUUAUUCCAUUUCUUUUUAGCUAAACCUUUAUAUUUUUAGAAGUUUUGAGUCCAUGAGCAACCACACCUUAACAACUUGGUUUUGAAUUUUUUAGAACACAUUAUCAGAUAUAUUAUUGAAGGUGGCAUAAAUUUAAUAUACCAAAUAUUGGUGUAGCCACUCACAGUUAUCAUUGUAUAUAUAGAUAUCAUCCUUUAAAUAUUAUUACCAAACAUAUAUAUGUAUAUGGUUGAUCUUCAGUUUUACAUCAGAAAUCCCAGUUGCAGAUCACUAAAAAAAAACUGAUAUAUACAAAGUAAAAAGUAUAAAGAAUGGUGAGGAUCUUGCUUCCCUUUAAUCUGUAUCAGCCAAGAAAAUGGGAGUAUAGCCCAGUGCCAGACAUAGAUACUAAAAGCCAAAAGGGAAUUUCCUUUUCUCAUAUAUAUAUUUUUUUACAGGUGAAAGCAGUUUUGAAUCAUUAGUGCAGCAAGGUGAUGAACAAAGCAAAGUUGGUGGCUACAAUUAUAGUUACAGAAAACAUGUGAGCCCACACUCUUUUGAAACCCUUCUCCCUUCCUUCCCCAUAAUAGCCAUAUACUUUACUGAUUAGCCCCCCUAUUAUCAAAUUAAGGGUGGUCGAUGAUACUUGAUCGUGUGGGUGGGCGUGUAUAUAUUUUCCUUAAUUAUGAUCCUACUAUUAAUCAUUUUGUUAACCUGUUUUGCACUUACUGGUCUUUGCCAUGUUAGAAUCAAUGGGUUAUUUUCAAAUCAUUGAACUAUGGAGUGUUCCAAGUGUCUUCUUGCACGUGGGUUUGUUCAGCUAGGUUUUCUUCAUAUCCAAGCCUGCUGAGGAAAUUAUUUUCGUCAUGUAUAAGUUUUGUAAAAGCUAUUCCUUUUAAAAACCAGCAGUAAUGAUGGUUAUAAGGGAAACUAUACAGUUACUUUCAUGGUUAAAUUGGUCAACAAGGAAAACACGGGUGUUUCUUUAUAGCUUUUUUUUACAAGAAGAAAAGAAAACCCGUUACUUUAAAAGUGAAUUGUUGCGCAUGCUCAACUUCAGUAAGUGAUUUGAUGAAAUAAGGUUAGAGUUAUUCAAAGAAUGAAUGUAUGCGUGUGCCCC
This 3890-nucleotide long non-coding RNA is filed under the name Gossypium raimondii (Peruvian cotton). RNAcentral's name for it is "long non-coding RNA (GRAI_LNC006054)". Lineage: Eukaryota; Viridiplantae; Streptophyta; Magnoliopsida; Malvales; Malvaceae. The record is from RNAcentral.